Molecule: long non-coding RNA, 532 nt
Filed under: Pongo abelii (Sumatran orangutan)
Lineage: Eukaryota; Metazoa; Chordata; Mammalia; Primates; Hominidae
Description: lincRNA
Source: RNAcentral
CCUUUACAUACCCGCCAGACACCUCCAGGAAGUAAGCGCCCGCUGCCUUCGUUCUCCCAACUGGAGCAACCUCUGUGGCGGCGACGAUGGCGGCCGUCAGGCCGGUGGUGAUGAAUAGAGAGGAUUUCUCUGCAGCGCGAAGCUCCCCUCUCCCGAAAGGUUGGCUCCACGGUCCCGCCGGCCGCGCGGGUCUGGCUGAACUGCGUGGCGUCGCCCGGCUCCUCUCGAUUUUAUGAAAAUGGCCUAAUUGAGGUGUGCUCUUUUCUUUCUUUCCUCUUUUCAUCUUUUCCUUCCGUCUGCAUUUUCUCUCCUCUGUCUUAGGCUUGAUAUCUUCUUUUCUUUUUAUAUUUGUGUUUUUCUCACCGCCUUUGCUUCCUUCCAUUUCAGUUAUCUUGCUUUUUGUGUGCUCUUUCUUGAUUUCUUUCUUUCCUCUUCUCGUUAUUGCUCACUCUCUGUUUCCGCCACCCACCCGUUGCUCUGUCUUCAUUUUCCCUUUAGUACUUUUCUCCCUAUCUUUCAGCUCACUUACACU